RNAcentral lists this transfer RNA (67 nucleotides) under Bryopa lata. Its description in RNAcentral is "tRNA-Leu". It matches the Rfam family "tRNA". Rfam says of the family: Transfer RNA (tRNA) molecules are approximately 80 nucleotides in length. Their secondary structure includes four short double-helical elements and three loops (D, anti-codon, and T loops). The record is from RNAcentral. Lineage: Eukaryota; Metazoa; Mollusca; Bivalvia; Clavagellidae.
GCGGAGGUGGCAGAUCAAUGCGUCAGUCUUAAGAUCUGAGGAUGAGAGGCUUCUCUCUCUCUUCGCU